GAUGCAGCGACGCCGCGUGGGGGAUGACGGUCUUCGGAUUGUAAACCCCUUUCAGUAGGGACGAAGCGCAGGUGACGGUACCUGCACAAGAAGCACCGGCUAACUACAUGCCACCAGCCGCGGUAAUACGUAGGGUGCGAGCGUUGUCCGGAAUUACUGGGCGUAAAGAGCUCGUAGGCGGUUUGUCACGUCGUCUGUGAAAUCCCUCGGCUUAACCGGGGGCGUGCAGGCGAUACGGGCAGACUUGAGUACUACAGGGGAGACUGGAAUUCCUGGUGUAGCGGUGAAAUGCGCAGAUAUCAGGAGGAACACCGGUGGCGAAGGCGGGUCUCUGGGUAGUAACUGACGCUGAGGAGCGAAAGCAUGGGUAGCGAACAGGAUUAGAUACCCUGGUAGUCCAUGCCGUAAACGGUGGGCGCUAGGUGUGGGGUCCUUCCACGGACUCCGUGCCGUAGCUAACGCAUUAAGCGCCCCGCCUGGGGAGUACGGCCGCAAGGCUAAAACUCAAAGGAAUUGACGGGG
RNAcentral lists this ribosomal RNA (522 nucleotides) under uncultured bacterium. RNAcentral describes it as "bacterial SSU rRNA". It matches the Rfam family "Bacterial small subunit ribosomal RNA", at positions 385 to 918 of the family's 1533-position model. The record is from RNAcentral.